RNAcentral lists this ribosomal RNA (244 nucleotides) under uncultured Staphylococcus sp. RNAcentral describes it as "partial 16S ribosomal RNA". It matches the Rfam family "Bacterial small subunit ribosomal RNA", at positions 96 to 334 of the family's 1533-position model. The record is from RNAcentral. Lineage: Bacteria; Bacillati; Bacillota; Bacilli; Caryophanales; Staphylococcaceae.
CGGCGGACGGGUGAGUAACACGUGGAUAACCUACCUAUAAGACUGGGAUAACUUCGGGAAACCGGAGCUAAUACCGGAUAAUAUAUUGAACCGCAUGGUUCAAUAGUGAAAGACGGUUUUGCUGUCACUUAUAGAUGGAUCCGCGCCGCAUUAGCUAGUUGGUAAGGUAACGGCUUACCAAGGCAACGAUGCGUAGCCGACCUGAGAGGGUGAUCGGCCACACUGGAACUGAGACAAGGUCCAG